This 254-nucleotide ribosomal RNA is filed under the name uncultured Paracoccaceae bacterium. RNAcentral's name for it is "uncultured Rhodobacteraceae bacterium partial 16S ribosomal RNA". It matches the Rfam family "Bacterial small subunit ribosomal RNA", at positions 524 to 776 of the family's 1533-position model. The record is from RNAcentral. Lineage: Bacteria; Pseudomonadati; Pseudomonadota; Alphaproteobacteria; Rhodobacterales; Paracoccaceae.
UACGAAGGGGGGCUAGCGUUGUUCGGAAUUACUGGGCGUAAAGCGCACGUAGGCGGACCAGAAAGUUGGAGGUGAAAUCCCAGGGCUCAACCUUGGAACUGCCUUCAAAACUCCUGGUCUUGAGUUCGAGAGAGGUGAGUGGAAUUCCGAGUGUAGAGGUGAAAUUCGUAGAUAUUCGGAGGAACACCAGUGGCGAAGGCGGCUCACUGGCUCGAUACUGACGCUGAGGUGCGAAAGCGUGGGGAGCAAACAGG